Molecule: ribosomal RNA, 253 nt
Filed under: uncultured bacterium
Lineage: Bacteria
Description: partial 16S ribosomal RNA
Rfam family: Bacterial small subunit ribosomal RNA
Source: RNAcentral
UACAGAGGUCCCAAGCGUUGUCCGGAUUUAUUGGGCGUAAAGAGCGUGUAGGCGGCCUGAAAGGUCAGCUGUGAAAACUCGAGGCUCAACCUCGAGACGUCGGUUGAAACCAUCUGGCUAGAGUCCGGAAGAGGAGUGUGGAAUUCCCGGUGUAGCGGUGAAAUGCGCAGAUAUCGGGAAGAACACCCGUGGCGAAGGCGGCACUCUGGGACGGUACUGACGCUGAGACGCGAAAGCGUGGGGAGCGAACAGG